Molecule: long non-coding RNA, 1123 nt
Organism: Pyrgilauda ruficollis (rufous-necked snowfinch)
Lineage: Eukaryota; Metazoa; Chordata; Aves; Passeriformes; Passeridae
Exons: 3
Source: RefSeq, a predicted model, not a curated record
UCAACCUACUUAGCAAGUGCCAGAGUCACUCUUUCCAUCCCACGUCUCGGGAAGCAGGACCAGGACAGCAGGGUGACCUUCGCAGGAGCUCGGCUGAGCCCAGGGACUGGGUGCUGCUGGCACCCAGGAGAGCCACAAGAAAGCAGCAUGAUCCCCACACUGCCAUGGAACAGAAACCUGCUCUCAGCUGGCAUUGCCUUUGAAAUGAAGUGCUGGAAUUCCGAACACAUGGAGGAAGAGAUUUCUGUGUGGGUUGUGGGUGAGACCUGGGAAGAGGCCUCAGGCAAAUGUGACCAACCUGAAUUCCUGCUGAUUUUGUGAACUCUGCAAGUGCCUCAGAGAGAGGUGGGACUCUCAAGAAGUACGGAGGAGAGCAGGCUGCUGAGGGCUGAGGAAUGGCAGCAAUGCCCACAUGUUUUCUGUUUGUGACACCGUGGCUGAUGGGAAUCAUUUAAUCACACAGCGAGACCAGUUCACUCUACCUUUACACGAGUCCUUAAGAUGUUUCCCUUAUCUCUGACUUUCUGCAGACGGCUGGGGUUUUCCCUGCCUGGUUCCUCUGUCACCUACAGAUGGCUUUCAGUGCUUAAUCCUUGGGAAAUGUGAGUUUCUCCAUAACUCAGCCACAGUUUCCCUGCUUGGCUGUCACACAGUGUUUCAUCUUUUCACUUCUCAGUCCGCAUCUGUACAAAGAGGUCAGUAAUGAGAGGAAAACAAGCAUAGCAGGGCCAGAUACACACAGAUCCCCAAGUGUUGAGGGGCCAUAUAAUUUCUUAAAUGAAUUGGUCACAUGAUACUCAUGAUGCUCUUUUUUUUCCUUUUUCCUCCUUUACUGGGUAAUUGAAACUUCAUAGACAUUAAGAAUCUGAAACAUGCGUAACAGUUCUUUAUGUACAAACAGCUUUUUCUCUGCAAACUGAGGGGUUUGUGGGGAAGAGAGUUCUGUGAACACUGGAGCGAGCAAGCACCUGUUUCCCACAAGUGUUACAAUUCCCACAACUGGCAGGAACAGUUGAUGUUCAGGGUAUAAAUGCAAAUUUUCCAUCUCUACAUCACAGGAUUAUCUGCGUUGUCCCCAGUUAAACCUCCUCACUGAAUAUAUAAUUAAAUCUUUCCAAAUGAC